Molecule: ribosomal RNA, 809 nt
Filed under: uncultured bacterium
Lineage: Bacteria
Description: bacterial SSU rRNA
Rfam family: Bacterial small subunit ribosomal RNA
Source: RNAcentral
AGAGUUUGAUCAUGGCUCAGAAUCAACGCUGGCGGCGUGCCUAACACAUGCAAGUCGAACGCGAAAGUCCCGCAAGGGAUGAGUAGAGUGGCAAACGGGUGAGUAACACGUGGGUGACCUGCCUUCGAGCGGGGGAUAACGCCCCGAAAGGGACGCUAAUACCGCAUAACAUCCUGCCUUUCAAGAGGUGGAGAUCAAAGCCGGGGAUCGCAAGACCUGGCGCUCGAAGAGGGGCCCGCGUCCGAUUAGCUAGUUGGUGGGGUAACGGCUCACCAAGGCAACGAUCGGUAGCCGGCCUGAGAGGGCGGACGGCCACACUGGGACUGAGACACGGCCCAGACUCCUACGGGAGGCAGCAGUGGGGAAUUGUUCGCAAUGGGCGCAAGCCUGACGACGCAACGCCGCGUGGAGGAUGAAGACCUUCGGGUCGUAAACUCCUUUCGAUCGAGACGAAUUCCUCCGGGGUGAACAAUCCCGGGGGUUGACGGUACCGAGAGAAGAAGCCCCGGCUAACUCCGUGCCAGCAGCCGCGGUAAUACGGGGGGGGCAAGCGUUGUUCGGAAUUACUGGGCGUAAAGGGCUCGUAGGCGGCCGACUAAGUCAGACGUGAAAUCCCUCGGCUUAACCGGGGAAUUGCGUCUGAUACUGGACGGCUUGAGUUUGGGAGAGGGAUGCGGAAUUCCAGGUGUAGCGGUGAAAUGCGUAGAUAUCUGGAGGAACACCGGUGGCGAAGGCGGCAUCCUGGACCAACACUGACGCUGAGGAGCGAAAGCCAGGGGAGCAAACGGGAUUAGAUACCCUAGUAGUCC